RNAcentral lists this ribosomal RNA (200 nucleotides) under uncultured bacterium. RNAcentral's name for it is "partial 16S ribosomal RNA". It matches the Rfam family "Bacterial small subunit ribosomal RNA", at positions 524 to 723 of the family's 1533-position model. The record is from RNAcentral.
UACGGAGGGUGCAAGCGUUAAUCGGAAUUACUGGGCGUAAAGCGCGCGUAGGCGGUAUUGUAAGUGGGAUGUGAAAGCCCCGGGCUCAACCUGGGAACUGCAUUCCAAACUGCAAAACUAGAGUAUGGUAGAGGAUAGUGGAAUUUCAGGUGUAGCGGUGAAAUGCGUAGAGAUCUGAAGGAACACCAGUGGCGAAGGCG